UGGCACCGUUUGGGGUUUUGUAUAUCAGGUAAUUGAGUUUUUACACUUUAUCAGUGACUUGCUGGCUCUUUUGCACAUAGAGCUUGUGGAAAUGAAACUUGAAAUGUUGUGAUAUACACAAGAUUACGUGGUUGUAAACUGAAAUUGCUCAUUUUGUUAUAAUUAGUAGUUAGCUGUGGUUGGCAGCUGAAACAGAAAUGGUUCUCUUACGAAAAAUAUGCCGCACAAAAUUCAGAAUGCUUUGUCCCAUGGACAGCAUUCAUAGAAUGUUGAUUCAACUUGUG
RNAcentral lists this unclassified non-coding RNA (284 nucleotides) under Hevea brasiliensis (rubber tree). Lineage: Eukaryota; Viridiplantae; Streptophyta; Magnoliopsida; Malpighiales; Euphorbiaceae. The record is from RNAcentral.